Molecule: unclassified non-coding RNA, 360 nt
Filed under: Galactia glaucescens
Lineage: Eukaryota; Viridiplantae; Streptophyta; Magnoliopsida; Fabales; Fabaceae
Description: partial external transcribed spacer
Source: RNAcentral
UGCCCUUUUUAUUUCUAUAGACCACUUUGGUGGUUUGCCUUCGGGUUCCUGUGCUGCCUACCACUGAAAUGGUAUUCGAUGAUCAAUGAAYAUUUGCUCCAUCCAGGUCUCCUUCCGGAGAUCAUGGUGGAUUAGUGCGAUGCAUGGGUUCCACUUUAGUCCUGUCUCUACGAGACUGUCGUGGCAACUAAUGCGGAUGCYGUUCUUUUGGAUGCGGUGAGUGCAUGCAAUGAACGUGGCUUCGAUUGUCCCGUUUCGUUAUAAAUAUUCGGUUGCCUUAGAAUGACUUGCCCUGGUGCUUGCGUUUUCCGUUCAGGAAGACGAUGCUUGCACCUUGAGCACGGUCAUGAAUGGGUGCUA